UACGGGGGGUGCGAGCGUUAAUCGGAAUAACUGGGCGUAGAGGGCACGCAGGCGGACUUUUAAGUGAGGUGUGAAAUCCCUGGGCUUAACCUGGGAAUUGCAUUUCAUACUGGGAGUCUAGAGUACUUUAGGGAGGGGUAGAAUUCCACGUGUGGCGGUGAAAUGCGUAGAGAUGUGGAGGAAUACCGAAGGCGAAGGCAGCCCCUUGGGAAUGUACUGACGCUCAUGUGCGAAAGCGUGGGGAGGAAACAGG
RNAcentral lists this ribosomal RNA (253 nucleotides) under uncultured bacterium. Its description in RNAcentral is "partial 16S ribosomal RNA". It matches the Rfam family "Bacterial small subunit ribosomal RNA", at positions 524 to 776 of the family's 1533-position model. The record is from RNAcentral.